GAUGUACUCCCUCCGUCCCAAAAUUCUUGUCUUAAAUUUGUCUAAAUACGGAUGUAUCAAGUCACGUUUUAGUAUUAGAUACAUUUGUAUCUAGACUAAUCUAAGACAAGAAUUUUGGGACGGAGGGAAUAAUUG
Triticum urartu is the source of this 135-nucleotide non-coding RNA. The record is from Rfam. NCBI's taxonomy places the organism in Eukaryota, Viridiplantae, Streptophyta, Magnoliopsida, Poales, Poaceae.